AGUGAACGCUGGCGGUAGGCCUAACACAUGCAAGUCGAACGGCAGCACAGUAAGAGCUUGCUCUUACGGGUGGCGAGUGGCGGACGGGUGAGGAAUACAUCGGAAUCUACUUUUUCGUGGGGGAUAACGUAGGGAAACUUACGCUAAUACCGCAUACGACCUACGGGUGAAAGCAGGGGAUCUUCGGACCUUGCGCGAUUGAAUGAGCCGAUGUCGGAUUAGCUAGUUGGCGGGGUAAAGGCCCACCAAGGCGACGAUCCGUAGCUGGUCUGAGAGGAUGAUCGGCCACACUGAAACUGAGAAAGGGUCCAGACUCCUACGGGAGGCGGCGGGGGGGAAUAUUGGACAAUGGGCGCAAGCCUGAUCCAGCCAUACCGCGUGGGUGAAGAAGGCCUUCGGGUUGUAAAGCCCUUUUGUUGGGAAGAAAAGCAGCAGGUUAAUACCCCGCUGUUCUGACGGUACCCAAAGAAUAAGCACCGGCUAACUUCGUG
RNAcentral lists this ribosomal RNA (491 nucleotides) under uncultured bacterium. Its description in RNAcentral is "partial 16S ribosomal RNA". It matches the Rfam family "Bacterial small subunit ribosomal RNA", at positions 29 to 507 of the family's 1533-position model. The record is from RNAcentral.